Molecule: transfer RNA, 68 nt
Filed under: Marmota monax (woodchuck)
Lineage: Eukaryota; Metazoa; Chordata; Mammalia; Rodentia; Sciuridae
Description: tRNA.Ala
Source: RNAcentral
GGAUUGUGGCUCAGGGGUAGAGUGCUUGCCUAGCAUGUGUGGAGCACUGGGUUCGAGUCUCAGCACCA